Long non-coding RNA from Mya arenaria, 1394 nucleotides. RefSeq lists it as uncharacterized. NCBI's taxonomy places the organism in Eukaryota, Metazoa, Mollusca, Bivalvia, Myida, Myidae. The record is from RefSeq and is a predicted model, not a curated record. The transcript is spliced from 4 exons.
CCGAAUGAUAUGCGCGCAUAAAAAGGUCGACGUUAUAUUCUAUACACGCUCACAGUCUGACCAUUGGAAUCUAUACACCCUUAAAUUUAUCCGUAAAGUAAACCAUGAAACUGUUGACUGCGACCAUUUCAACUAGUUUCAUUUCCGGAUAGCCCUUUAAGCUCCCGUUUUUGUAUAAUAGCUAUUUUAAGGAUUAUAACUUGGACUUCCAAUAUGUCGACAUGGAUAUACAGCCUCAAGUCAACUUUGUAAUUUCUCCGUCACCAUGAUGUGUCGCUGUGGUACGAAAGGAUUGGGAUCAAGUUAUGCAGAUUGUUGAGAGCAAUAUGAUGAGGGAAGGCAGGAAAGAGUCUUAUUGUCAGUAUGUACUCAUGGAAAAAUGGUGUUCGAGAGGUGGCGAAUAAGGAUUUGUAUGCAGCAUUGAAGAACGGUAAUAUGCAAAGAAUACAAAGAAAGGUUCUCUUAACAUAGAAAGUAAAGAAAUAAUGAAGUUCACACUACAGUUAACAAUCUGGAUGUGUUUCCUUUGUUAUUUGAACAUGAUUUAUUUUAACUUACAUAACAAGUAUGCACUACAAUAAUGAAUAUCUAUAUUAAUAGUAAUGAUAUUCCAUUAAACAUGGAUAUGGAAAAAAUAUUCUUUGACAGUGCAAGAUAAGAUAAAUCCAGACAUAGUCAGAGUCUUCAGUUAACUUGGAUGUGUUCCAUUUGUUUCAUCCACAUACUUGAAAUUUGUCUUGUAACUACCUGUAUUUUUAUGAGGUAAAGUGGUGAGUAAUCAACCUUUAUCAUAACAUUUUCUUAUUUGGGGAUAGUAUGUAUUUAUGUUGACACUAUGUGUACCUUCAUUCUCUUCAUUUUUCUGUACGAAACAAGACCGAAUGUGUCAUUUUAGUUUUACCAUUUUAAACUGUAUUUAUUAUACUCUUCAUUGAAUACCCAUUCGUAUAUUCUCAAACAUUUUAAUAAAUUUAAAUGUGUUGUUAUUUUGAUUAUAUUGUGUUGGUGUCAUAGGGUACAUGUAUAAGUCCAUUCCCAGCCUUCAAGAUAAAACAGAUAUAUUUUUUGUUGUAAAAUGUGUUCUUUAUGCAUAUACAUAUAGAGUGGCUACAGAGAACUCAACAUUUUUCUUACAAAAUAUCUAAGGGUUUCCCUGCAUGUGAUUGCUACAUUUAGUGUACCUCAUGUUAUAUAAUACAUUGUAUAUGAUCAAUAAAACAGAUUAAGAACCAAAGCUGUUGCUAAAUACUUUUUAAAAGCUGUAUAUGUACAAGACAAUACUGAGACUGUAUAGACACCAAUGUUUGUCCUAGCUUGAAGAUGUAUAGAUUCCAAUGAUUGCCUUAAGUUGAGGCUGUAUAGAUUCCAAUGUUUGUCUUAAGCUGAGGCUGUAU